AUACGUAGGGUGCGAGCGUUGUCCGGAAUUACUGGGCGUAAAGAGCUCGUAGGUGGUUUGUCGCGUCGUCUGUGAAAUUCCGGGGCUUAACUCCGGGCGUGCAGGCGAUACGGGCAUAACUUGAGUACUGUAGGGGAGACUGGAAUUCCUGGUGUAGCGGUGAAAUGCGCAGAUAUCAGGAGGAACACCGGUGGCGAAGGCGGGUCUCUGGGCAGUAACUGACGCUGAGGAGCGAAAGAAGGGGUAGCGAACAGGAUUAGAUACCCUGGUAGUCCAUGCCGUAAACGGUGGGCGCUAGGUGUAGGGGUCUUCCACGACUUCUGUGCCGUAGCUAACGCAUUAAGCGCCCCGCCUGGGGAGUACGGCCGCAAGGCUAAAACUCAAAUGAAUUGACGGGG
RNAcentral lists this ribosomal RNA (398 nucleotides) under uncultured bacterium. Its description in RNAcentral is "partial 16S ribosomal RNA". It matches the Rfam family "Bacterial small subunit ribosomal RNA", at positions 523 to 918 of the family's 1533-position model. The record is from RNAcentral.